UACCCUGGUAGUCCAUGCUGUAAACAAUGUCGAUUUGAAGGUUGUAGCCUUGAGCUAUAGCCUUCGAAGCUAACGCAUUAAAUCGACCGCCUGGGGAGUACGACCGCAAGGUUAAAACUCAAAUGAAUUGACGGGGGCUCGCACAAUCGGUGGAGCAUGUGGUUUAAUUCGAUGAUACGCGAGGAACCUUACCAAGACUUAAAUGUACUACGAAUAAAUUGGAAACAAUUUAGUCUAGCGACGGAGUACAAGGUGCUGCAUGGUUGUCGUCAGCUCGUGCCGUGAGGUGCAAGGUUAAGUCCUUAAACGAGCGCAACCCUUAUUAUUAGUUGCCAUCGAGUAGUGUCGGGGACUCUAAUAAGACUGCCGGCGUAAGCCGAGAGGAAGGCGGGGACGACGUCAAAUCAUCACGGCCCUUACGUCUUGGGC
This 429-nucleotide ribosomal RNA is filed under the name Candidatus Palibaumannia cicadellinicola. RNAcentral describes it as "bacterial SSU rRNA". It matches the Rfam family "Bacterial small subunit ribosomal RNA", at positions 783 to 1214 of the family's 1533-position model. The record is from RNAcentral. Lineage: Bacteria; Pseudomonadati; Pseudomonadota; Gammaproteobacteria.